Vitis riparia (riverbank grape) is the source of this 1748-nucleotide RNA transcript. RefSeq lists it as uncharacterized. NCBI's taxonomy places the organism in Eukaryota, Viridiplantae, Streptophyta, Magnoliopsida, Vitales, Vitaceae. The transcript has 9 exons. The record is from RefSeq and is a predicted model, not a curated record.
GACCCAUGUGGAAAUGCUAAAGCGACGGCUUCAACGACAAAGCCACCAUGCUUUCUACAGCUAGGGUCUUCGCCUGCAACUUCAAACCCUCUCAAUCUCCGCCAUUACGCAGCAAAACCCAGAUGGAGGCACGAACCAGAAGCCCACAAAUCACCUUCUCGAGAUCUGGCUCUCUUUCCCCUCCAAGGGAAAGCCUCAGAGAAGAGAAUGGUGGUGGAACUGCCAUUGCGUUGCAGGAAUGGCAGGGUUGGGGAACAGAGUCUCCGUUACCUGAAAGGGUUGCUGAGAUUGUUCAUGAAUUGAAGUAUUUGGAGAAAGACUUCAAUGCGGAGAUGAGUUUUGGUGGGGUUGGUGGUAAACUGCAGGGAGAUUUCAAGAUUCAAGAGGAUAAAAAGCACAGAGCAACUUAUCAGGCUUUAGGUGAUUCUGAGAAAAAGCUCCAAUUCUUUUCAGCUCGACAAAUAGCAUGCCGCUUGCUUGGAAGUAGGGGUUACCUUUGUCAGAAGUGCUGGCUUGCUCUGGAAGAUUGUAUGUGUUCUAAAGUGAUUCCUUGCGCUCUAUGGCAUGGCAUACGGUUCUGGUUGUAUAUGCAUCCAAAGGAUUUUCUACGGCAGAACAAUACUGGAAAGUUGCUGUGGCAAGUGUUUGGUGUUAAAGCUGCAACUUUGUGCCUCUUUGGCAUUGCUGAACAUGAAGAGAUCAUGUGGAAUACAUUUGCACUUGCAGGGAAAAGCAAUGUUUGGUGCCUUUAUCCCAAUAAGAAUGCGCCAACAAAAUCAGUUCAGGAUAGCUUUGCUCAGGAAUCUUUGGGAGGUCUAGAAUGCCCAUCAACACAGACAAACAGAGAAAAAAUUCUGAACUUUAUUUUAAUUGAUGGCACAUGGAACAACUCCGCAGCAAUGUUCAGGCGUUUGAAGGAACAAGCAAAGUUAGCUUGGGGAGAGGAGGAUCUUCCUUGUAUAUCUCUGGCCAUGGGUGCCUCUGCAAUGCAUAAACUUCGGCCCCAACCAUCUUGGGAUCGUACCUGUACAGCAGCAGCAGCCAUUGGCCUCCUCUCUGAGCUCCAACUUAUUCCAGAGUUUGGCUCAUAUGGAUUGGAUAAGCAAGCAGAAGCAGUGGAAGAUGCCUUAGCAGUUCUAUUAGAAGCACUCACAGCUCGACGCCUUCGCAUGGGCAGGUCCAUCUCUCGUAAGCAGAGACACAACACUGACAUCUGUUAACAACUAACCAAGAAUCACAUUGUCAGCAGCAGGAGGAUGCGUUUUUUAGGUACCAGGUCUCCCUUUGGUUUGCAUGGUAACCAAGUCAAGGACCAAGUUAUGAGUAUGGCAUCGUGGACUAGCAACACAUUAUGUUUCUGCAGUCAUUGUAUGCUUCAGAUACGGUAGGCCCCUCUUUUUUCUUAGAGGGUUUUUGGUAGAAUUUAAUGUUUAAUGACUUAAAGUGACUUUAAGUUAUUGUGCUCAAAUCAUUGAGUCAUAUUAAGUCAUUAAGUUGAUUUACCAAAAUCAUUUUUAAGUUAUUAAGUCAUAUUAAGUCAAGAGGUUGAUUUAUCAAACACCCCUCUAGUCUCAAACUUUUUAGUUUUGCUUACUGAUUGAUGUGGUAUUGGAUCAAAACAGUCGUCACAGUUGAAAGUUCCAUUGAACUCAUAUUGGUUGUAUCCAUACACUACAUACAUUGAGAAUCCUUCUUUGCAGACAGAAUGAAAUGAUCUUGAACUUAAUCAAGUUCAGGUUUGCUUUAUA